This 905-nucleotide long non-coding RNA is filed under the name Marmota monax (woodchuck). Lineage: Eukaryota; Metazoa; Chordata; Mammalia; Rodentia; Sciuridae. The record is from RNAcentral.
CCUCUCCCCACACCACAUUGUGUGUUAGCAUCCACAUAUCAGAGAGGACUUUUGGCCUUUGGUUUUUGGGGAUUGGCUUCUUUAACUUUGCAUAAUAGUCUCCAGUUCCAUCCAUUUACUAGCAAAUGCCAUAAUUUCAUUCUUUUUUAUAGCUAAGUAAUACUCCAUUAUAUACGUAUACCACAUUUUCUUUAUCCAUUCGUCUAUUGAAGGGCACCUAGGUUGGUUCCAUAGCUUAGCUAUUGUGAACUGAACUGCCACAAACUUCGAUGUAGCUGCAUCACUAUAGUUUGCUGCUCUAAGUCCUUUGGGUAUAUGCCAAGGACUGGGAUAGCUGGUCAAAUGGUGGUUCCAUUCCAAUUUUUCCCAUUUAGCUUUUUCUUAACUUUGAUGCUCCACCUUGGAUUCUUGGUGACUAGUGGGAAAAUCUCAAGAUAAUUGAUUUACAAUUUUUUUAUUAGAUCACACUGUAGUAAAGACCGGAAGAUCUCUUUAUUGUAACUUGGAUGUCACAGCCCUUAAGGAUAAACAAACCAUCCUGAAACCUCACUCAAGGCUCAAAUUACUGGGAACGCUAAUUCCCACCUAAGGCAAAGGGUACCCUCCAUCUCUGGGGCAGGUGCCCUAUUUAACGCUCUUUGCCUCUCAGGCAAAACAGCAGAUUUCCUUGCUCCUCAGCUGACUAAUAGCUCUCUCCAUGCAGCUUGCGUCUGAAGUUUGAGACCAGAAAAAAAAAAAAGCGUCACUUUUAAAUCCAAGCUGCCAUGGGACAUAAAUGACUGAUUUAUCUUUUCUUGCGCUCUGGGAUUCCACUCUCCAGUAAGUUUCUCCUUAAAUACUAGAAAAAGAAACAGACAAGAGAAGGGUAUAUAGAAAGGCUGACUGCACCAGGUCCCAGAACUUUU